RNAcentral lists this ribosomal RNA (253 nucleotides) under uncultured bacterium. RNAcentral describes it as "partial 16S ribosomal RNA". It matches the Rfam family "Bacterial small subunit ribosomal RNA", at positions 524 to 776 of the family's 1533-position model. The record is from RNAcentral.
UACGUAGGGGGCGAGCGUUGUCCGGAAUUACUGGGCGUAAAGCGCGCGUAGGCGGCUUGGUAAGUCGGUUGUGGAAGCCUCGAGCUCAACUCGGGAACGGCGACCGAAACUACCAGGCUCGAGUACGGUAGGGGAUGCUGGAAUUCCUGGUGUAGCGGUGAAAUGCAUAGAUAUCAGGAGGAACACCGGUGGCGAAGGCGGGCAUCUGGGCCGUUACUGACGCUGAGGCGCGAAAGCUAGGGGAGCAAACCGG